CGGCCGUAACUAUAACGGUCCUAAGGUAGCGAAAUUCCUUGUCGGGUAAGUUCCGACCUGCACGAAUGGCGUAAUGAUGGCCAGGCUGUCUCCACCCGAGACUCAGUGAAAUUGAACUCGCUGUGAAGAUGCAGUGUACCCGCGGCAAGACGGAAAGACCCCGUGAACCUUUACUAUAGCUUGACACUGAACAUUGAGCCUUGAUGUGUAGGAUAGGUGGGAGGCUUUGAAGUGUGGACGCCAGUCUGCAUGGAGCCGACCUUGAAAUACCACCCUUUAAUGUUUGAUGUUCUAACGUGGACCCGUGAUCCGGGUUGCGGACAGUGUCUGGUG
This 333-nucleotide ribosomal RNA is filed under the name Salmonella enterica subsp. enterica serovar Montevideo. RNAcentral's name for it is "partial 23S ribosomal RNA". It matches the Rfam family "Bacterial large subunit ribosomal RNA", at positions 1931 to 2263 of the family's 2925-position model. The record is from RNAcentral. Lineage: Bacteria; Pseudomonadati; Pseudomonadota; Gammaproteobacteria; Enterobacterales; Enterobacteriaceae.